UUGGGAACAUUUUGCACCCUU
This 21-nucleotide microRNA is filed under the name Corchorus olitorius. Its description in RNAcentral is "ssc-miR-450b-". Lineage: Eukaryota; Viridiplantae; Streptophyta; Magnoliopsida; Malvales; Malvaceae. The record is from RNAcentral.